RNAcentral lists this ribosomal RNA (253 nucleotides) under uncultured bacterium. RNAcentral describes it as "partial 16S ribosomal RNA". It matches the Rfam family "Bacterial small subunit ribosomal RNA", at positions 524 to 776 of the family's 1533-position model. The record is from RNAcentral.
UACGUAGGGGGCAAGCGUUGUCCGGAAUCAUUGGGCGUAAAGCGCGUGUAGGCGGUUCGGUAAGUCUGCUGUGAAAGUCCAGGGCUCAACCCUGGGAUGCCGGUGGAUACUGUCGGGCUAGAGUGCGGAAGAGGCGAGUGGAAUUCCCGGUGUAGCGGUGAAAUGCGUAGAUAUCGUAAGGAAGACCAGUGGCGAAGGCGGGUCUCUGGACAGUUCCUGACGCUGAGGCACGAAGGUCAGGGGAGCAAACGGG